Molecule: ribosomal RNA, 490 nt
Filed under: uncultured bacterium
Lineage: Bacteria
Description: partial 16S ribosomal RNA
Rfam family: Bacterial small subunit ribosomal RNA
Source: RNAcentral
AUUGAACGCUGACGGCAGGCCUAACACAUGCAAGUCGAACGGUAACAGGAAGCAGCUUGCUGCUUCGCUGACGAGUGGCGGACGGGUGAGUAAUGUCUGGGAAGCUGCCUGAUGGAGGGGGAUAACUACUGGAAACGGUAGCUAAUACCGCAUAAUGUCGCAAGACCAAAGAGGGGGACCUUCGGGCCUCUUGCCAUCGGAUGUGCCCAGAUGGGAUUAGCUUGUUGGUGGGGUAACGGCUCACCAAGGCGACGAUCCCUAGCUGGUCUGAGAGGAUGACCAGCCACACUGGAACUGAGACACGGUCCAGACUCCUACGGGAGGCAGCAGUGGGGAAUAUUGCACAAUGGGCGCAAGCCUGAUGCAGCCAUGCCGCGUGUAUGAAGAAGGCCUUCGGGUUGUAAAGUACUUUCAGCGGGGAGGAAGGGAGUAAAGUUAAUACCUUUGCUCAUUGACGUUACCCGCAGAAGAAGCACCGGCUAACUCCGUG